AUACGUAGGGUGCGAGCGUUAAUCGGAAUUACUGGGCGUAAAGCGUGCGCAGGCGGUGAUGUAAGACAGUUGUGAAAUCCCCGGGCUCAACCUGGGAACUGCAUCUGUGACUGCAUCGCUGGAGUGCGGCAGAGGGGGGAUGGAAUUCCGCGUGUAGCAGUGAAAUGCGUAGAUAUGCGGAGGAACACCGAUGGCGAAGGCAAUCCCCUGGGCCUGCACUGACGCUCAUGCACGAAAGCGUGGGGAGC
This 248-nucleotide ribosomal RNA is filed under the name uncultured bacterium. RNAcentral's name for it is "partial 16S ribosomal RNA". It matches the Rfam family "Bacterial small subunit ribosomal RNA", at positions 523 to 769 of the family's 1533-position model. The record is from RNAcentral.